RNAcentral lists this long non-coding RNA (281 nucleotides) under Gossypium barbadense (sea-island cotton). RNAcentral's name for it is "long non-coding RNA (GBAR_LNC010591)". Lineage: Eukaryota; Viridiplantae; Streptophyta; Magnoliopsida; Malvales; Malvaceae. The record is from RNAcentral.
AACACUUAACACUCAAAAAUAAAAGUUAUCAAACCUCACCGUUAAUCACUCAAAAAGAAAAAAUCAAAUUCUCAAUGAGGUCGAAUUCAAUCUUGUGAGUUCUUUAUCAGAGUUUAUAUCAACCAAUUAGAGAGUGUGAACCAAACUACCAAAGAAUCCUAAUUUGCACUAGGAUGCCAAAAACUGACGAGACACCAAUUGAUUCGUGUUGCACCGAGGAAGAAGUUGUGCACACGUUUAAAUCCUACUAACACAAGAAACAAGAAGGUGUUAGAUAACGU